GGUCGCGGGGGUUAUAUAGACGUGCUCGGGCGUGAAAAUGGAAGGCCGGAGGAGGAGAUUGCGGCGGCAGGCGCGCGGGGACGGCGGCCGGAAAUCGCGGCGGCGGCGCGAGGGUUUCCUUCCGGGGAAGAAGCCCCUGACAGGUGGGCCCCACCUGUCAGCGGGUGCGGGCGCGCGCGUGGGGCGGCGGGGCUUGUCGGGCCGGCGUGCGUGCGGUCGGACUGGGCCGGUUCGGCCCAUUUUGGCCGGGCCGGUCCGGUUUUCUAUUUUUUUUUUCUUUUAGCCUUUUCUUUUUCUGCUUUUCCCAUUUCUUUGAUAUCUUUUGUGUUUGAACUCCAAAUUGGUCCAAUCAAAUUCCAGAGAAUUUGUAAAAUCAUGUUCUAUCAAGAUACAACUUUUGGAAGUAGUUUAUCUUCAAAAAUAAAAUAUAUAAAAAUACAUUUGCCCUAUAAAUGCCUUUAGGGCCAUAUAUCUAUUUAAAUAAAAUACUUUUUCAACUCUAAAUAAUUGUCCAAAAAUUAUGGGAUAGCUUAUAUAUGCAUUAAACCCCUUUUGUAUAUAAACCUUAAUGCUUUGAAGAUCCAAAGCUCAAAUAGGUGUAAAGAAAGUCUUUUAGAGCCCUUUUGAGAUUUAAUAAUUGAAUUCAAAUAUGAUAUUGUGGCAUGAUGCUCAUGGAUGCAAUGCACAUGUAAAAGUUUGAAAUUUUGCGAUGUUACAAUUUUGAAUUGGACUAGAAUGCUAGUACGUAUAGGUUUUGAACUUUUGAGUUUUGGUUGUGUGUGUAUAUAUACAAGAUUUUUGGACUAGAGUGCAUGAUUUUUGGACUAGAGUGCAAUUUACCAGAUUUAUGAGUAAAGCAGAAAUUUAAAAAUGAAAGAAUUAAAGAAGACUAUGGUGCCUUUGGCCUAGCAAUUUCUGGUGUAGUUACUUCAUGCGAUUGAUCUUGGAGCAAAACCAAAAUUUCUGUGAGGGAGCCUUUUGUUGUACGUGUUGCCUUAUAAUUACUACUCACUACAAAUUGCUAUUUUGUAUAAUGUUAUUUCAAAGUCAUUUAUACUUUACAUAAAAUCCUACUAUGAUUGAUAUUGCC
This 1090-nucleotide long non-coding RNA is filed under the name Brachypodium distachyon (stiff brome). Its description in RNAcentral is "long non-coding RNA (BDIS_LNC003429)". Lineage: Eukaryota; Viridiplantae; Streptophyta; Magnoliopsida; Poales; Poaceae. The record is from RNAcentral.